UCUUGGUCAUUUAGAGGAAGUAAAAGUCGUAACAAGGUUUCCGUAGGUGAACCUGCGGAAGGAUCAUUAUCGUAUCAAACCGGGGUGCGUCCGGGUCGGCCCUGCACCGGCGGAAACGCCGUGCUGCGGGCCCCCGGCGUCCCUUCCACACCUAAACCCCUGUGCACCUYUUGGGAAGGCGGCGCGGAGACGUGCCGUCGGCCCCUUUCUCACAAGCUCUGUCUCAUGUAGAAUGCCCGCGGACAUCGUCCGUCUAAACAAAUAACAACUUUCAACAACGGAUCUCUUGGCUCUCGCAUCGAUGAAGAACGCAGCGAAAUGCGAUAAGUAAUGUGAAUUGCAGAAUUCAGUGAAUCAUCGAAUCUUUGAACGCACCUUGCGCCCUUUGGUAUUCCGAAGGGCAUGCCUGUUCGAGUGUCUUGAAUUCAUCGCGGCCCGAGGUUUCGCGCCUCGGGCCCGCGGAAGUGGGGGCCUGCCGCGGCGACGCGGCUCCCCUCAAAUGCAUCGGUGGGGUCUCCGGACAUCCCGGGCGUUGUAUUGUCCUCGUCCGACCAUGGGUUCCGGCUCCGACCCCGCCUCGACCGUUCCGUGCGAGCGGCGGUCAGUCUAAUGCUUUGAAAUCUGACCUCGAAUCAGGUAGGACUACCCGCUGAACUUAAGCAUAUCAAUAAGCGGAGGAAAAGAAACUAACAAGGAUUCCCCUAGUAACUGCGAGUGAAGCGGGAUGAGCUCAAAUUUGAAAUCUGGCGGUUCUGCCGUCCGAGUUGUAAUCUGGAGAAGCGUCUUCCGUGCCGGACCGUGUACAAGUCCCUUGGAACAGGGCGUCAUAGAGGGUGAGAAUCCCGUCUUUGACACGGACUCCCGGUGCUCUGCGAUGCGCUCUCGAAGAGUCGAGUUGUUUGGGAAUGCAGCUCAAAAYGGGUGGUAAAUUCCAUCUAAAGCUAAAUAUUGGCGAGAGACCGAUAGCGAACAAGUACCGUGAGGGAAAGAUGAAAAGCACUUUGGAAAGAGAGUAAAACAGUACGUGAAAUUGUUGAAAGGGAAACGCUUGAAGUCAGUCGCGUCUUCUGGGACUCAGCCUUGCUCUGCUCGGUGCACUUCCCAGUUCGACGGGUCAGCAUCGGCUCUGGUGGGCGGACAAAGGCGCGGGGAAGGUGGCAGCCUCGGCUGUGUUAUAGCCCCGCGUUACACGUCCACCGGGACCGAGGAAUCCGGCGCUCGCGCCCGGGAUGCUGGCGUAAUGGCUUUAAACGACCCGUCUUGAAACACGGACCAAGGAGUGCUACAUGCUCGCGAGUGUUUGGGUGGAAAACCCGAGCGCGAAAUGAAAGUGAAAGUCGAGACCCUUUGCGGGGGCACCGACGCCCGAGCCUGAUGUUUUCGGAAGGCCUUGCGGUAGAGCGAGUAUGUUGCGACCCGAAAGAUGGUGAACUAUUCCUGAGGAGGGCGAAGCCAGAGGAAACUCUGGUGGAGGCUCGUAGCGGUUCUGACGUGCAAAUCGAUCGCAGGACUUGGGUAUAGGGGCGAAAGACUAAUCGAACCAUCUAGUAGCUGGUUCCUGCCGAAGUUUCCCUCAGGAUAGCAGAAGCUCAGAUCAGAUUUAUGUGGUAAAGCGAAUGAUUAGAGGCCUUGGGGUUGAAACAACCUUAACCUAUUCUCAAACUUUAAAUAUGUAAGAACGAGCCGUCGCUUGGUUGGACCGCUCGACGAUUGAGAGCUUCUAGUGGGCCAUUUUUGGUAAGCAGAACUGGCGAUGCGGGAUGAACCGAUCGCGGGGUUAAGGUGCCGGAAUGCACGCUCAUCAGACACCACAAAAGGUGUUAGUUCAUCUAGACAGCAGGACGGUGGCCAUGGAAGUCGGAAUCCGCUAAGGAGUGUGUAACAACUCACCUGCCGAAUGAACUAGCCCUGAAAAUGGAUGGCGCUCAAGCGUGCUACCCAUACCCCGCCGUCAGCGUUGAAGUGACGCGCUGACGAGUAGGCAGGCGUGGAGGUCCGUGAAGAAGCCUAGGCAGUGAUGCUGGGUGAAACGGCCUCUAGUGCAGAUCUUG
RNAcentral lists this ribosomal RNA (2051 nucleotides) under Subulicystidium longisporum. RNAcentral's name for it is "eukaryotic LSU rRNA". Lineage: Eukaryota; Fungi; Basidiomycota; Agaricomycetes; Trechisporales; Hydnodontaceae. The record is from RNAcentral.